UACGUAGGGGGCUAGCGUUAUCCGGAAUUACUGGGCGUAAAGGGUGCGUAGGCGGUCUUUCAAGCCAGAAGUGAAAGGCUACGGCUCAACCGUAGUAAGCUUUUGGAACUGUAAGACUUGAGUGCAGGAGAGGAGAGUGGAAUUCCUAGUGUAGCGGUGAAAUGCGUAGAUAUUAGGAGGAACACCAGUGGCGAAGGCGAUUCUCUGGACUGUAACUGACGCUGAGGCUCGAAAGCGUGGGGAGCAAACAGGAUUAGAUACCCGUGUAGUCCCUGA
Molecule: ribosomal RNA, 276 nt
Filed under: uncultured prokaryote
Description: partial 16S ribosomal RNA
Rfam family: Bacterial small subunit ribosomal RNA
Source: RNAcentral